This 432-nucleotide ribosomal RNA is filed under the name uncultured bacterium. RNAcentral's name for it is "partial 16S ribosomal RNA". It matches the Rfam family "Bacterial small subunit ribosomal RNA", at positions 338 to 795 of the family's 1533-position model. The record is from RNAcentral.
CCUACGGGUGGCAGCAGUAAGGAAUAUUGGUCAAUGGGCGCAAGCCUGAACCAGCCAUGCCGCGUGCAGGAAGACGGCCUACGGGUUGUAAACUGCUUUUGCAGGGGAAUAUGUACUCUGAGAAUAAGGAUCGGCUAACUCCGUGCCAGCAGCCGCGGUAAUACGGAGGAUCCAAGCGUUAUCCGGAUUUAUUGGGUUUAAAGGGUGCGUAGGCGGCUUUUUAAGUCAGGGGUGAAAGACGGUGGCUCAACCAUCGCAGUGCCUUUGAUACUGAAGAGCUUGAAUACACUAGAGGUAGGCGGAAUGUGACAAGUAGCGGUGAAAUGCAUAGAUAUGUCACAGAACACCGAUUGCGAAGGCAGCUUACUAUGGUGCAUUGACGCUGAGGCACGAAAGCGUGGGGAUCAAACAGGAUUAGAUACCCUUGUAGUC